Molecule: ribosomal RNA, 250 nt
Filed under: uncultured bacterium
Lineage: Bacteria
Description: partial 16S ribosomal RNA
Rfam family: Bacterial small subunit ribosomal RNA
Source: RNAcentral
UACGUAGGUGGCAAGCGUUGUCCGGAUUUACUGGGUGUAAAGGGCGUGUAGGCGGGAUAGUAAGUCAGGUGUGAAAUACCAAGGCUCAACCUUGGGGCUGCACUUGAAACUGCUAUUCUUGAGUGUCGGAGAGGAAAGCGGAAUUCCUAGUGUAGCGGUGAAAUGCGUAGAUAUUAGGAGGAACACCAGUGGCGAAGGCGGCUUUCUGGACGAUAACUGACGCUGAGGCGCGAAAGCGUGGGGAGCAAAC